Molecule: ribosomal RNA, 232 nt
Filed under: uncultured bacterium
Lineage: Bacteria
Description: partial 16S ribosomal RNA
Rfam family: Bacterial small subunit ribosomal RNA
Source: RNAcentral
UGAGUAACCUGCCCUUCUCUUCGGAAUAAGCGUUGGAAACGACGUCUAAUGCCGAAUACGACCUCCUUUCGCAUGAUCGGAGGUGGAAAGCUCCGGCGGAGAAGGAUGAGCUCGCGGCCUAUCAGCUAGUUGGUGUGGGUAAUGGCCCACCAAGGCGACGACGGGUAGCCGGCCUGAGAGGGUGACCGGCCACACUGGGACUGAGACACGGCCCAGACUCCUACGGGAGCAG